ACUUGCUUGUAGCAGAGAAAACAUCUGCUUUUGUUCGGGAAAAAAAAAAUUCAAAAUUUGUGAAAAAUAAAGAAAAAUCGUUUUUGGAAAAAAAUUUCGGUAAAAGUGAAUAAAAUUCAAAGUUAAAUAUAAAUUUUUCGUUGUUGGAAAUACUCGUAAAUUUCCUUUCAUAGUGCGCAUAAAGUGAGAACAAGUUCUGAUAACCUAUCGUUUGCUUCUAGUGUACUCUCGUACUUACAUAUAUCAAGGAUAUUUCUUAUUUUACUACAUGAGUGCAUGACUUGUGUAUGUUUCCAGGCUGCUGCUGCAUUUCGAUUGACAUUAGACACAACAGAUUGACAAACGAUAACGUGAAAUAGUUCCAAAUGGUAACGAAAUUUUCGAAAUUUGUCUGUCAUUAUGGAUGAACAACAAGUCCCCAACGCAACAUUAGUUUACAUUUUUAAUCAUCUUUAAUACUGACACCAGGCGUACACACUUUGUAUGAGUCUUUGCAAUGCAGCUUACAUUCAACAAGACAACGACUACCUAUACUUCAAUACUUCAAUACCAAAUUGCGGCGGUCAUUAUUGAUGCUUACACUUUAGAUUUAAUUGAAUGUGAAAUUAUUAUAUACUGGCGUGCAGCCCCUGCCCUCUAACAAAAAACUAAUGAACACAGUUCGGUGUGGUACCGGUGCCUCAUACACAGGACGAGCAGAUUGCACCCGCAACUUUUCUUUUAGGUGUGACAAUACAUCUAAUUUCAAAACAGGGAAUACUCUAAUACAAAUAUUCCACAUACACCGCAAGUGCCAUGAACAAUAAAUAAUAUAUUUUAUAA
RNAcentral lists this small RNA (822 nucleotides) under Drosophila pseudoobscura pseudoobscura. RNAcentral describes it as "GA30575". Lineage: Eukaryota; Metazoa; Arthropoda; Insecta; Diptera; Drosophilidae. The record is from RNAcentral.